UUCCGGUUGAUCCUGCCGGAGGUCACUGCUAUUGGAGUUCGAUUAAGCCAUGCAAGUCGAGAGGGUUAGACCCUCGGCGGACGGCUCAGUAACACGUGGGUAAUCUACCCUCAGGACAGGAAUAACCCCGGGAAACUGGGGAUAAUACCUGAUAGGUGGAGAGGUCUGGAAUGAUUCUUCGCUUAAAGCCCCGGCGCCUGAGGAUGAGCCUGCGCCUGAUUAGGUUGUUGGCGGUGUAAUGGACCACCAAGCCGAAGAUCAGUACGGGCAGUGAGAGCUGUAGCCCGGAGAUGGGGGCUGAGACACGGCCCCAGGCCCUACGGGGCGCAGCAGGCGCGAAAACUCCGCAAUGUUCGAAAGAACGACGGGGGAACUCCAAGUGCACUUGCGCAAGUAAGUGGUUUUUAGUAGUGUAAAUAGCUUUANGAAUAAGAGCUGGGUAAGACCGGUGCCAGCCGCCGCGGUAACACCGGCAGCUCGAGUGGUGACCGCUUUUAUUAGGCCUAAAGCGUUCGUAGCCGGUUCAGUAAGUCUUUGGGCAAAUCUUCUCGCUUAACGAAAAGAAUUCCGAAGAUACUGCUGGACUUGGGGCCGAGAGAGGUUAGAGGUACUCCUGGGGUAGGGGUGAAAUCCUAUAAUCCUUGGGGGACCGCCAGUGGCGAAGGCGUCUAACCAGAGCGGAACCGACGGUGAGGGACGAAAGCCAGGGGCGCGAACGGGAUUAGAUACCCGGGUAGUCCUGGCUGUAAACGCUGCAUGCUAGGUAUUGCAUGCUCUACGGGGGUCAUGCCAGUGCCGAAGAGAAGUUGAUAAGCGUGCCGACUGGGAAGUAUUAUCGCCAG
This 842-nucleotide ribosomal RNA is filed under the name uncultured archaeon. RNAcentral's name for it is "bacterial SSU rRNA". It matches the Rfam family "Archaeal small subunit ribosomal RNA", at positions 1 to 847 of the family's 1478-position model. The record is from RNAcentral.